GACGAACGCUGGCGGCGUGGAUUAGGCAUGCAAGUCGGACGGUAGGGCUUUAUCGUAAGAUAGAGUUUGAGAGUGGCGAACGGGUGAGUAACACGUAGGAAUCUACCCUUAAGACGGGGACAACCCAGGGAAACUUGGGCUAAUACCGGAUGCGUGCAAACAAUGUUUUGGCUGCUGUAAUUGUUCACGGAAGUGAAUAGUUAUGAGAGUUUAGAGCAUAAUUUGCAUAAAAGAUGGCGUAAGCUGUCGUUUGAGGAUGAGCCUGCGUCCUAUUAGUUAGUUGGUGAGGUAAUAGCUUACCAAGGCGAUGAUAGGUAGGCGGCCUUAACGGGUGGUCGCCCACACUGGGAUUGAGAUACGGCCCAGACUCCUACGGGAGCAGCAGUCGAGAAUAGUCUACAAUGGACGAAAGUCUGAUAGUGCGACGCCGCGUGAACGAAGAAUCCUUUCGGGGUGUAAAGUUCUUUUCUAUGUGAGCAGUUCCUUUUAUAUGAAGAGUAUAGGAGGCGGGU
Molecule: ribosomal RNA, 512 nt
Filed under: uncultured bacterium
Lineage: Bacteria
Description: bacterial SSU rRNA
Rfam family: Bacterial small subunit ribosomal RNA
Source: RNAcentral